UGGGGAAUAUUGGACAAUGGGGGGAACCCUGAUCCAGCAAUGCCGCGUGUGUGAAGAAGGCCUGAGGGUUGUAAAGCACUUUCAGUAGGGAGGAGGUUACUUAGGUUAAGAGCUAGAGUGAUGGACGUUACCUACAGAAGAAGCACCGGCUAACUCCGUGCCAGCAGCCGCGGUAAUACGGAGGGUGCAAGCGUUAAUCGGAAUUACUGGGCGUAAAGCGUGCGUAGGUGGUUGAAUAAGUUAUCUGUGAAAUCCCUGGGCUCAACCUGGGCAGGUCAGAUAAUACUGUUUGACUCGAGUAUGGGAGAGGGUAGUGGAAUUUCCGGUGUAGCGGUGAAAUGCGUAGAGAUCGGAAGGAACACCAGUGGCGAAGGCGGCUACCUGGCCUAAUACUGACACUGAGGCACGAAAGCGUGGGGAGCAAACAGGAUUAGAUACCCCCGUAGUCC
RNAcentral lists this ribosomal RNA (449 nucleotides) under uncultured bacterium. Its description in RNAcentral is "bacterial SSU rRNA". It matches the Rfam family "Bacterial small subunit ribosomal RNA", at positions 355 to 796 of the family's 1533-position model. The record is from RNAcentral.